RNAcentral lists this ribosomal RNA (378 nucleotides) under uncultured bacterium. RNAcentral describes it as "partial 16S ribosomal RNA". It matches the Rfam family "Bacterial small subunit ribosomal RNA", at positions 338 to 733 of the family's 1533-position model. The record is from RNAcentral.
CCUACGGGAGGCAGCAGUGGGGGAUAUUGCACAAUGGGGGGAACCCUGAUGCAGCGACGCCGCGUGGGUGAAGAAGCGCCUCGGCGCGUAAAGCCCUGUCAGCAGGGAAGAAAAUGACGGUAUCUGAAGAAGAAGCCCCGGCUAACUACGUGCCAGCAGCCGCGGUAAUACGUAGGGUGCAAGCGUUAUCCGGAUUUACUGGGUGUAAAGGGGGCGCAGGCGGCGAUGCAAGCCAGGAGUGAAAGCCCGGGGCCCAACCCCGGGACUGCGGUUGGAACUGGUUGGCUGGAGUGUAGGAGGGGCAGGCGGAAUUCCUGGUGUAGCGGUGAAAUGCGUAGAGAUCAGGAGGAACACCGGUGGCGAAGGCGGCCUGCUGGA